This 64-nucleotide transfer RNA is filed under the name Dipodomys ordii (Ord's kangaroo rat). It matches the Rfam family "tRNA". From Rfam's summary of the family: Transfer RNA (tRNA) molecules are approximately 80 nucleotides in length. Lineage: Eukaryota; Metazoa; Chordata; Mammalia; Rodentia; Heteromyidae. The record is from Rfam by way of RNAcentral.
GGUGGCUCAGUGGUAGAGUGCUUUUCUUGCAUGCAUGAGGCCCUGGGUUCAAUUCCCAGCACCA